Molecule: ribosomal RNA, 454 nt
Filed under: uncultured bacterium
Lineage: Bacteria
Description: bacterial SSU rRNA
Rfam family: Bacterial small subunit ribosomal RNA
Source: RNAcentral
GACGAACGCUGGCGGCGCGCCUAACACAUGCAAGUCGAACGGAGCUGGGAGGAGCUUGCUUUUCUUAGCUUAGUGGCGAACGGGUGAGUAACGCGUGAGUAACCUGCCCUGGAGUGGGGGACAACAGUUGGAAACGACUGCUAAUACCGCAUAAGCCCACGAUCCGGCAUCGGAUUGAGGGAAAAGGAUUUAUUCGCUUCAGGAUGGACUCGCGUCCAAUUAGCUAGUUGGUGAGGUAACGGCCCACCAAGGCGACGAUUGGUAGCCGGACUGAGAGGUUGAACGGCCACAUUGGGACUGAGACACGGCCCAGACUCCUACGGGAGGCAGCAGUGGGGGAUAUUGCACAAUGGGGGAAACCCUGAUGCAGCGACGCCGCGUGGAGGAAGAAGGUUUUCGGAUUGUAAACUCCUGUCGUUAGGGACGAUAAUGACGGUACCUAACAAGAAAGCAC